Long non-coding RNA from Vidua macroura (Pin-tailed whydah), 1009 nucleotides. RefSeq lists it as uncharacterized. Lineage: Eukaryota; Metazoa; Chordata; Aves; Passeriformes; Viduidae. The transcript has 3 exons. The record is from RefSeq and is a predicted model, not a curated record.
AUGACACACACGUUCCCCAGAUAUUGGAUAUAAAAACCAAGAAUCCAUUUCAAUAACAAUCAGGCACUUUGAAUUUCGAAGGAAUGACGUCAGAAGCUGACAGGAAUUUUGCAGGAAUGGGAAUAAAGGAUGGAUACACCCAAAUUUUUCGGAGGAAAACUCACCAAGGCAAGCUGGCACCUCUUGGAGGCCGGGACUAAACCCACCCUGCACAAACUUAGGAAUAAUUUAACUGGAAAACUUCUGGGCUCUCCUCCAGCACUGCACACUGGAUGUCAGGCACCAGCAGGGGAAAAACUCUCCUUUGAAUGCCCAGAUCUGGUGGGAUUCCUUUGUAAUGUGCACUCCCCUCCAGGCCUUUUGAAGCUUCACUUUAGGCUCGGUUCAAGUGAGCAGUCUUGAUUUGUGAUUCCUCAUGGCAUUUUCACUCUGGAGCUCUCUGUUGCUUUGUUUGCUUGGAAAAGAGGAUAAAAAACAGAGAGUGAAGAGAAAUCACUCUGUAAAUCAAUGCCUGGCGAGCUCUUAGCCGAGAAAUGAUUUUAUUUAUUAAAGAUGUGAAAAUCCCCCUUCCAUUUCACACCUAAAUCUUCACUUAAGCAAGAUAACUCCAGUCCUGGAUGAGGAACAAGCAGGGAGAAGGAGAAAUGUUUGGGAGUAGCACAAGUGGCGGGGGUUGAGCUCAUCAGGAUUUUAUAACGCACAGAAAAAAGACAAUGGAGUUCACAACAGCAAAAAGAGAGAAUAGAAUGUGAAAUAUGGCCCUAAAAUCUGCUCCAUCCGUGGAACAACAGCUUUCCCCAGCUGUCUGACAGCUGUAAAGAUGUUCCAUCAGGAGGAAUAACAGAUAUUUGUCACCCAGGUCAGUGGUUAUUUUAUCCCCAGUUUAGGUUUUCUGGCUCAUUCAGCAAUCAAAGGCUGAUGACAGGCACAGGAUGAUGAAGGAUUUGGGCAGUGCUGACCCACAACUCAUCCCCCACCUCUGCUGUGUCCAGCCUGCUCAGGAACUGCC